UGGGGAAUCUUGGACAAUGGGCGCAAGCCUGAUCCAGCCAUGCCGCGUGGAUGAUGAAGGCCUUAGGGUUGUAAAAUCCUUUCGUGGGGGACGAUAAUGACGGUACCCCAAGAAGAAGCUCCGGCUAACUUCGUGCCAGCAGCCGCGGUAAUACGAAGGGGGCUAGCGUUGUUCGGAUUUACUGGGCGUAAAGCGCGUGUAGGCGGGUCGUUAAGUUGGGGGUGAAAUCCCGAGGCUCAACCUCGGAACUGCCUUCAAAACUGGCGACCUGGACCCAAGUAGAGGCAAGUGGAAUUGCGAGUGUAGAGGUGAAAUUCGUAGAUAUUCGCAGGAACACCAGUGGCGAAGGCGACUUGCUGGACUUGUGGUGACGCUGAGACGCGAAAGCGUGGGGAGCAAACAGGAUUAGAUACCCCUGUAGUCCCUGAG
This 429-nucleotide ribosomal RNA is filed under the name uncultured bacterium. Its description in RNAcentral is "bacterial SSU rRNA". It matches the Rfam family "Bacterial small subunit ribosomal RNA", at positions 355 to 801 of the family's 1533-position model. The record is from RNAcentral.